This 524-nucleotide ribosomal RNA is filed under the name Nectriaceae sp. E10514d. RNAcentral describes it as "eukaryotic LSU rRNA". The stretch from base 168 to 321 matches the Rfam family "5.8S ribosomal RNA". The record is from RNAcentral. Lineage: Eukaryota; Fungi; Ascomycota; Sordariomycetes; Hypocreales; Nectriaceae.
ACCUGCGGAGGGAUCAUUACCGAGUUUACAACUCCCAAACCCCUGUGAACAUACCUUAUGUUGCCUCGGCGGAUCAGCCCGCGCCCCGUAAAAAGGGACGGCCCGCCGCAGGAACCCUAAACUCUGUUUUUAGUGGAACUUCUGAGUAUAAAAAACAAAUAAAUCAAAACUUUCAACAACGGAUCUCUUGGUUCUGGCAUCGAUGAAGAACGCAGCAAAAUGCGAUAAGUAAUGUGAAUUGCAGAAUUCAGUGAAUCAUCGAAUCUUUGAACGCACAUUGCGCCCGCCAGUAUUCUGGCGGGCAUGCCUGUUCGAGCGUCAUUUCAACCCUCAAGCCCAGCUUGGUGUUGGGAGCUGCAGUCCUGCUGCACUCCCCAAAUACAUUGGCGGUCACGUCGAGCUUCCAUAGCGUAGUAAUUUACACAUCGUUACUGGUAAUCGUCGCGGCCACGCCGUUAAACCCCAACUUCUGAAUGUUGACCUCGGAUCAGGUAGGAAUACCCGCUGAACUUAAGCAUAUCAAA